CAAAAACUGUAGGCCAAUGAAUAUUUCCCCAAUUUAUAACCCCAAUGAUUUAGUAAAAAGCAAGAAAAUUAAGGACUAUCAAUUGCACAAAAGAAGACAGAGUAAGCUCACCAUUUCCUUCUUAAUUCUCUUAAGGUCCUUAUCCGUCAAAGGCUCCAUAUCAAAGUCAUAAUAAAAGCCAUUCUCAAUCCACGGACCAAUGGUCACUUUUGCAUCUGGAUAAAGCUUUUGCACAGCCAUGGCCAUUACAUGAGCACACUGAACAGAAAAAUGAAUAUGUUGGCUUCUACAAUCUACCUACAAACUUCAAACAGAAAAAUACUCCUUUUCAAUCCACUCCAAAUUCACUUACGGACAAAUUAUAGCCAAGUAUGAAUCUCUGAAGCCUAAUAUUACUACAGAGUCUAAGUUUGCAAUAACUAUAAUUUCAAGCAAAAUUGAUAAAUAUAGAUUAAGAAAGAAAAUGAGAAAAAUUGACAAAACCCAUGAAAUUUGAAGCAAAAAUUGCAUCAGUACAACACAAGCCCUCAAUGGAUGCUCCUUUGGUAUUACCGUGUGGCGAAUCCUGAGGAGUCCCUCAGACGAUUCAUUAGUGGGUAGAACAAUUUUUCCAUUCUGUGCUUCACCAUAUUUUUCUUCUUCCUCCGAAAUAGUGGCUGUUUCAGUAAAAUUGGUGGCCACCGCAGAGAUAUUCGCGUUGGAUACCCCACAAAUCCUAUUUCCAUAGCGGGGAUUACGGGAGUUACAAGAUGGGUAUAGAGCAAAUAGAUUGAAAUGGCGCUUAGCGAUAAUGGAAGAAAACGUAGUGUUGAAAUUGGGAGAGAAAUUCGAGAGUUUGGAUGGAAAAGCAAAGAAACAGUGCCAGUGCUUAGAUAAAGAUACCGCCAUUGCUGUAUUCCUGUGAAGAGCAAACAUAGUUGGAUAUUUGGGUUUUACUGAUUUUCUUGUCUAGCCUUGGAAUUUGUCUUUUGCUUGAGUUCAAGUAAAUCACCUUCUUAAACACCUUUUUGAUUUCUUCAGUCAACUAGAGUGAUAAUUUACAGCAGUGAAGCCAACAUUGAAGCUGAGUAAAGAGGGGUACUAUCAAAAUGUUUCUGUUGAAACUUCUUUCUGGUGAAGUCAUUAGACAUAAUGAAGCAGCUAGCAGGGAACUUCAAAUUAACAAAAUCCCAACAUCAAAAAAUAUCAUCCAUCCUUAUCCCAAAAAAAUCAUCUUAGAAACCUCAAAAUUUUACAUUAACUUGACCCCAGUAAGGUUGUUCACUUUAAUCCAAUACGGCGGGUAAGCACUUCCAAGUUAGAAAAGAGGCGAAGGGAAAACUCCAGCUUGGAAAUGCAAAUAUAUCUUCUUCUUCUUUAGCAUAUACCUCCUCUAGAUGACUCCAGCUUGCACCCCAUAACCAUGUUUUUGAAAUUUACUUCGACCCAUUUGUUACUAUGCAGUGAUUAUCAUACGUACUUGAAACUCCUCAUCCUACAAGCAACAAUGACUCUUAUUCACGUUCUAGAUCACAUAUUAUUCUCCAUCUACAUGGGUCCAUAAGUUUCUGGACAGCCUGUGACCUCUUUAAUAGCCUCAUCAACCACACAAGCCAUAAGCGCACACGUGCUCAUACACACUACCUUCUUUUGUGCAGGCAUCUAUAGUCCACCAAAUCACUCAACUCAUCAUGAAGAAAAGUUGGCCAUUUAGAACAGAUGAACUAAAACAUAAACGACCAGUUUUGGAAAAUAUAACUAGCCAAGGUAUCAUAUGGUUCACAUGGUAGUUUCUUUCAUAUCUAGACUCCAACAUUAUAAAAUCAAUUAGAUAAGUAUCUGACAAAUAGUGAAACAGUUGGCAACGAAGAUAAGCUCGAAAUCUGGUGGUGCAAUAGUUACAAAACACACUUUCUUUUAUAAAAGAAAUAGCAAGUGUGUACCUAUAUGAUAGAUUGUGAUAGGAUCCUCUUUGAUGCUUUCCAAAAUCUCCAUCUUGUACGGCUCAUUAACAGCCAUUAUUCUUCUCUGGGCUUCAUCUCUGCUAACUUCUUCUCGUACCAAAGGUAAAUUUCGACCAAUGAUGCGAUCCUGCAGAUGAUUCAACAAAUAAAUUCUGUACCCAAAAACUGUAGGCCAAUGAAUAUUUCCCCAAUUUAUAACCCCAAUGAUUUAGUAAAAAGCAAGAAAAUUAAGGACUAUCAAUUGCACAAAAGAAGACAGAGUAAGCUCACCAUUUCCUUCUUAAUUCUCUUAAGGUCCUUAUCCGUCAAAGGCUCCAUAUCAAAGUCAUAAUAAAAGCCAUUCUCAAUCCACGGACCAAUGGUCACUUUUGCAUCUGGAUAAAGCUUUUG
Molecule: long non-coding RNA, 2333 nt
Filed under: Olea europaea (common olive)
Lineage: Eukaryota; Viridiplantae; Streptophyta; Magnoliopsida; Lamiales; Oleaceae
Description: long non-coding RNA (OEUR_LNC007858)
Source: RNAcentral